Rhineura floridana is the source of this 1822-nucleotide long non-coding RNA. RefSeq lists it as uncharacterized. The transcript is spliced from 3 exons. The record is from RefSeq and is a predicted model, not a curated record. Lineage: Eukaryota; Metazoa; Chordata; Lepidosauria; Squamata; Rhineuridae.
GCAACGGCAAGUUUCCCCGGCUUGGCUUUGAACACAAAAGGGGCCAGGACGCCUGGAGAAUCUCCACACACACAGCCGGGAACAAGAGCUCUUGUUUUUGUUUUAUUUCGUCUCUGGCUAGAGAGGGAGGGAAAGCGGGCGACAUUCUUGCCCGCCCCCAAGGAGGAUUCGCAGCCACUGCUGGGACGGGCGGCCUGCGGUGGGGUUUGGAACUUCGUCAGAAGCCAUUUGCGAAUGGUCGCGAGCAACUAGGGCAGCCUUUCAUGUUGUCGUUUCCAAUUCCUUCCAGCUUCGACGUGGGUUAGGUGGCAAUCCCACAGAGUUAUAGCCGCCUGGGAGCGUGGCCUCGUCGCUAAGACAGGAACAGGUUCGGAGGCUCUGAAGUAAGCGACUUGUGAGAUGACUGCUUCCACCUGCUUUGCCUCACCCUCCAGCCCUAGGAGCUUUCAAAAUGGAGUUGAUUCCAGAAGAACUCUGAGGAAACUUUCUGGCCUUUGGGAUUCAGGCAUAAGAGAUGCAGGCGAGUCAGCUUUGGGACUACUUUUGGAUGUGAAAUUGUUGGACAUUUUACUUGACCUAUUGAUAAGAUUUAUGCUUGCUUACAUUUUGAUGUAUGUGAAAUGAACUAUUUAUUUUAGUGUUAUGUUGUCAUGAUACUAUACUUUUUAUUAUGCAUUAUUGUACUACUGUAUUUAGAUUUCAUGUGAAUCACUUUGAGCACAUGUGUUUAUGGAAAAUGUGGUACAUAAAUAAACGGAUUGUGAUAGCAUACAUACACAUAUACACAUACUAUGUGGUUUUUUAAAUUUAUUGAAUGAAUAUUUAUUGUUACGGUUCUUAGACCAGCAGACAAAGAUACAAAAUGAGAAGAUAAAAACGAAAUAAGGUUAAAAACAGUUAAAACAAUUAAGCCCAAAGUAGUGCUGGAAGUAAAUUCCUGUUGAGGUCAGUACUAUAUUAGUGCUCAGUGGUCAGAGUCCUUCUCCAAUGUAUGGCCGCCACACAGAAGCUUGCCACCUUGGCGGUCACUUCUAAAGUGGCGUCCAAUAAAAGAAAUUGGACAUAAAAGGCCUCAUCCCAGCCGGGGAUACUUUGCAGGAUAGGGGUAACAAGGGCAAAACGUAGAUCGCGGUAAAAGGUACUUUUAAAUUUAUUAUUGCAUUUAUAUCCCAAGGAGCUCAAGGUGGUGUGCAUGGUUCUCCCCCUCUCCAUUUUAUCUGUAAAAGCGCAUCGGCUAUGGGGCAGUAUAUAAAUGUAAUAAAUAAAAUAAAUUAUCUUCAAACAAUCCUGUGAGGUAGGUUAGGCUGAGAGGUAGUGGCUGGCCCAAGAUCACCCAGUGAGCUUCAUGACAAAGUGGGGAUUUGGACUUCCACACUGCUAGCAAAAAUAAAAUAAAUUUUAAAAAUUUAAAAAUCCAACAAUAGUUAGCAAUGGCAUUGCUACUGCGUAUUGGGUGGGUAAGGGCUGAUUUUCAUUGUGAGGUAGUACAUAAUAAAUAGCACUCGAUGCCUGUAGCAAACAUACAUCAGUUUGAAACAUCUACCAUAUGACAUGUGAAAUGGCCUUUGGUUCAUGCAGUAGGAAGACGAGGACCAGAUAACACAUUUAAUUUUUUGUUUAAUUAAAUAUUUAUUAUUAAAUAUAUUAUUAAUCAAGUUAAGUUUAUAUAUUCAUGAAUACAUUCCAUUUCUGGAUACCCAAAUAAUGGCACACUCAAACCUUUUAUUUAUUUGGCUUUAUGGGUGACCAUAUUCCCAAAAUACAAGAUGCACAAUAUUUCCUUAUCUGAUUCAUUCUCAUAACAUAAUAUUGGUUUAUGCUU